AUUAUUUCAAUAUUUUGACUUAUCUAGUGCUGUAAGAGCAAGGGUAGACUGAUUGCUUUUUUCCUUUGGCUUUUUUUCUUUUUCCUAAUAGUUUGUCUCUAACACUUGUGAGCCGCGUUCUGCAGAGCAGCUGGGUGCUGCACAGCCGUGCGGCAGUGGGAGCUGUGGGCUGCCCUGCCUGGCGCCUGGCCAUCGCCUGCCCCGUGCUGCUGCCUGCCCGGGGCCGGGGCAGCCCGGGGCCUGGGCAGCCCGGGGCCUGGGCAGCCCGGGGCCAUUAGCUCAGAUGCCUUUGAGCAGGAAUGGCAGCUGCCAGGGGCACCACGCUGUGAGGGCGGCUGCUCUUGGAAGCUGGCACUUAUAGCCUCACACAUAAGGAGUCAACUUGCAUUUCUGUGUCCCUAAGUUUUUAUUACGCUGAAGGGAUGAUAAAAGCCUAUCAUCUCUUGGAAAUGAAAUGACACAGGAAGUACGAAGCAAAGCAUUAACAGUGAAGGUAUCAUCUGCUCCAGAUUUGACAAGGUGGCAAAAUGCUGCAAUGGAAGAGAAUCUCAAGAUAAAAUAUUUAGGCAGAGCAGAGAUCAGUGGCUUCCUCUCUAGCACCAGCUAUGUUGAGACCGCGCCAGGUAGUGGAGAAAAGUCAAUGCCAACAACAUAACCAAUUCUGUGAGACUCCAUCAGUCCCAAGGAAAUUCAGCUUUUUAAAAUGAUUGUGAAAGGGACAG
Long non-coding RNA from Parus major (Great Tit), 722 nucleotides. NCBI's taxonomy places the organism in Eukaryota, Metazoa, Chordata, Aves, Passeriformes, Paridae. The record is from Ensembl.